This is a non-coding RNA of Cinara cedri, 202 nucleotides long. The record is from the annotation of a GenBank genome assembly. Lineage: Eukaryota; Metazoa; Arthropoda; Insecta; Hemiptera; Aphididae.
UCUAGAUAAUAAAGAAAAAUCAGAAAACUAACCGUAAGACAAACGGGAAUGUGUACGGUUUGAUUAUUUUCGAUUUUCUAUUUUUAUCGUAAUUCGGUUAAUAAUAAUCACAAUGAUGUGAAAUGUCUACAGAAUGAGUUAUUUAUAGGCAUUGUUAAUGUUUUAAAUACAUAUUUCGUGUAAAGCGAUGCGAUCAAGUUGU